This 79-nucleotide ribosomal RNA is filed under the name Zingiber zerumbet (bitter ginger). RNAcentral's name for it is "partial 18S ribosomal RNA". Lineage: Eukaryota; Viridiplantae; Streptophyta; Magnoliopsida; Zingiberales; Zingiberaceae. The record is from RNAcentral.
UUCCAAAAUUGGGGGGGCACUUUGUGAAAGAAAAAUUGGUACCAGGGUUUCGGUAGGUGACCUUGCGGAGGGUUCAUUG